UCCCUAUGGGGUGCAGCAGGCGCGAAACCUCCACAAUGCGCGAAAGCGUGAUGGGGUUAGCCCGAGUGCUAUCCGAAAAGGAUGGCUUUUCCUUGGCGUAAAAACCCAGGGGAAUAAAGGGGGGGCAAGACUGGUGUCAGCCGCCGCGGUAAUACCAGCUCCCUGAGUGGUAAGGACGAUUAUUUGGCUUAAAGCGUCCGUAGCCGGCUUAGUGAGUCUUUUGUUAAAUCCAAUGAUUUAAUCAUUGAACUGCAAGAGAUACUGCUAUGCUAGAGGACGGGAGAGGUCGACGGUAGUCCAGGGGUAGGGGUGAAAUCCUAUAAUCCUUGGAGGACCACCAGUGGCGAAGGCGGUCGACUAGAACGUGCCUGACGGUGAGGGACGAAAGCUGGGGGAGCGAACCGGAUUAGAUACCCGGGUAGUCCCAGCUGUAAACGAUGCGGGCUAGGUGUAGGGGCAGCUACGAGCUGCUCCUGUGCCGCAGAGAAAUUGUUAAGCCCGCCGCCUGGGGAGUACGAUCGCAAGAUUGAAACUUAAAGGAAUUGGCGGGGGAGCACCACAAGGGGUGAAGGCUGCGGUUUAAUUGGAUUCAACGCCGGAA
This 601-nucleotide ribosomal RNA is filed under the name uncultured archaeon. Its description in RNAcentral is "bacterial SSU rRNA". It matches the Rfam family "Archaeal small subunit ribosomal RNA", at positions 319 to 923 of the family's 1478-position model. The record is from RNAcentral.